CCUACGGGAGGCAGCAGUGGGGAAUAUUGCACAAUGGGGGAAACCCUGAUGCAGCGACGCCGCGUGAGUGAAGAAGUAUUUCGGUAUGUAAAGCUCUAUCAGCAGGGAAGAAAUAGCGACCUUUGGGUCGCCAGACGGUACCUGAUUAAGAAGCCCCGGCUAACUACGUGCCAGCAGCCGCGGUAAUACGUAGGGGGCAAGCGUUAUCCGGAUUUACUGGGUGUAAAGGGAGCGUAGACGGCAGCGCAAGUCUGAAGUGAAAUGCCGGGGCUUAACCCCGGAACUGCUUUGGAAACUGUGCAGCUAGAGGGCAGGAGAGGUAAGCGGAAUUCCUGGUGUAGCGGUGAAAUGCGUAGAUAUCAGGAGGAACACCGGCGGCGAAGGCGGCUUACUGGACUGUAACUGACGUUGAGGCUCGAAGGCGUGGGGAGCAAACAGGAUUAGAUACCCGAGUAGUC
RNAcentral lists this ribosomal RNA (458 nucleotides) under uncultured bacterium. RNAcentral's name for it is "partial 16S ribosomal RNA". It matches the Rfam family "Bacterial small subunit ribosomal RNA", at positions 338 to 795 of the family's 1533-position model. The record is from RNAcentral.